AAAGUGCGAUAAGCAAUGCGAAUUGCAGAAUUCCGCGAAUCAUCAGAUCCUUGAACGCAACUGGCGCUAGGAGGCUCUCCUUCUAGCAUGUCUGUUUCAGUGUCUGAAAACAUCACAAUCUAACUUAAUGUAGUUGAUGACGAAAAGAGAAUCUUCUCUUUCUCGAAAUCUUCUAUUAAAGAUGUACAUGUGGGUCUUUGGACCCCUCAUCGAAUUGGUCACUGUUUCCUCAGUGAUUUCGAUAGGGGAAAUUAUUCAAUUACCUAAAUGCAUGUAGGAAAACAUUCAAAAACUUCAAACUCUGCAUCUGAAAUCAGGCAAGAACACCCGCUGAACUUAA
RNAcentral lists this unclassified non-coding RNA (340 nucleotides) under uncultured fungus. RNAcentral's name for it is "sequence contains ITS1". The stretch from base 1 to 105 matches the Rfam family "5.8S ribosomal RNA", at positions 50 to 154 of the family's 154-position model. The record is from RNAcentral. Lineage: Eukaryota; Fungi.